UACGUAGGGUGCGAGCGUUGUCCGGAAUUACUGGGCGUAAAGAGCUCGUAGGCGGUUCGUCGCGUCGGCUGUGAAAACCUGAGGCUCAACCUCAGGCCUGCAGUCGAUACGGGCGGACUUGAGUACUGCAGGGGAGACUGGAAUUCCUGGUGUAGCGGUGGAAUGACGCAGGAUAUCGAGGAGGAACACCGGUGGCGAAGGCGGGUCUCUGGGCCGACACGUGACGCUGGAGGAGCGAAAGACGUGGGGAGCGAACAGGA
Molecule: ribosomal RNA, 260 nt
Filed under: uncultured bacterium
Lineage: Bacteria
Description: partial 16S ribosomal RNA
Rfam family: Bacterial small subunit ribosomal RNA
Source: RNAcentral